This 253-nucleotide ribosomal RNA is filed under the name uncultured bacterium. RNAcentral describes it as "partial 16S ribosomal RNA". It matches the Rfam family "Bacterial small subunit ribosomal RNA", at positions 524 to 776 of the family's 1533-position model. The record is from RNAcentral.
UACGAAGGGGGCUAGCGUUGUUCGGAAUUACUGGGCGUAAAGCGCGCGCAGGCGGUUCUCCAAGUCAGGGGUGAAAUCCCGAGGCUCAACCUCGGAACUGCCUUUGAUACUGGGGAUAUCGAGUCCGGGAGAGGUGAGUGGAACUCCGAGUGUAGAGGUGAAAUUCGUAGAUAUUCGGAAGAACACCAGUGGCGAAGGCGGCUCACUGGCCCGGUACUGACGCUGAGGUGCGAAAGCGUGGGGAGCAAACAGG